UUUUCAUCCACCCCAUUCCACCUCCAACCAAACAUACCUAACUGUUUGAGCUCUCUCAUUUCUUUGAACACAAACACACAUACUCACAGACAUAGUGAGCCUACUACAUUUUGGAGAUAGCUGAUGGCUUCUUCUUCCUCUUAACCCUUGAAAAUGAUGGAAAUGAGCUCAAAUGUCUUUCCUCAACCUUAGCCUCAGCCUCAGCCUGCCUCUACUUCUGUAGCGUUGUCCUAUUCUUCACAACACUUGGACGUACAAGAGCAGACUACAUGAAUACACACUACAAUGGGCCAUUCAGCGGCCAAUAUAUGGAACUAGUAAUGAGGGAACACUGCAUGGACCAAAGUUUAGGUCAAUGGUCGAAAUGGAUGGAGGGAGCUAUACCUCUCCAAACACUUUUUCACAUCGAAAAAAAGCCAAACAAGACAUUUCCAAACUUGCAAUUCAAAUAAGAUAAAGGAUUGAAGGGUAUUCUCUCAUUCAUGAACAAGAUGUUGCCAAACUUGCAAUGGAACACGUAUCAAAGAAAAUAAAGGAUGAAUGGUGUCCUCUCAUUCAUGAGGUUUGUUACAUCAUCUUGUAAAUUUAGACUUUGUUAGAUGAAACUUGUAAUUUAUUCUUUUUAUUUUUGUUUUUUUUUUUCCGAAGGAUGGGAGAUUAACUUUUUUGAAGUUGAAAGAAACCUAAAUUGUGAGGCUAAAAGAUGCUUGUAUGUGUGAAAAAUUAUCUUCAUAUCUGUGAAGAUGAUCUUUUCAUUUUUAUUACAAUAAAGUUUUCGUGAACUUUUAGAACA
This is a long non-coding RNA of Quercus robur (English oak), 793 nucleotides long. RefSeq lists it as uncharacterized. The record is from RefSeq and is a predicted model, not a curated record. The transcript has 2 exons. NCBI's taxonomy places the organism in Eukaryota, Viridiplantae, Streptophyta, Magnoliopsida, Fagales, Fagaceae.